Eriocheir sinensis (Chinese mitten crab) is the source of this 1672-nucleotide long non-coding RNA. RefSeq lists it as uncharacterized. The record is from RefSeq and is a predicted model, not a curated record. NCBI's taxonomy places the organism in Eukaryota, Metazoa, Arthropoda, Malacostraca, Decapoda, Varunidae. The transcript is spliced from 2 exons.
CACAGCGGUGCUGCCGGCCAAUCCCGGCGGCAGCCCAACAUAUCGUACAGAUCAGAUACGGGUGAGAAGAGGAAGAGCUGAGAUAAGGGUCAAGAAAUAAAAAGAAGAGCAGAGACAAGGGUGAAGAGGAAAGGAAGGUAGGGGUGAGUAGAGGAGAGGCAGAGAUGAGACAAAUGUGAAGAGAAGAGGGAGACUCCAACUCCAGCCCGAAGUAACCGACUCCUCGACUCCUGCUGAUUGACUGACUCUACUCCCCUGACACAAGCACCUCGUUUAACCUUCCCCUCAAACACCUCAGCAUCAACCAAAUAAGUCUGUUUAUUUUUUUUUUUUUUUGCUUAUUUUCUUCCCUUUAAGCCCUAGGACUAAACCAAUAACAAUUAAUCUUUUCCAAGUAGGCUACAUACACAAAUUGAGCAUCGACAGUCUGUAACUGAAGUCUAUACUUAUGUUUAUGAGAUGUCAAAAAAUUUAUUUGACAGGGAAUAAUAAAAAUAAAACCACAAAAAAAGGGGGGGAGUAAUUAUCAGAAAAAUGCUACUCCUACAUACUUGCGAGGAGAGGACUAGAUUACACAGCUAACAAAAAUAAAAAAAAUAAGUUAACCAGCAAACUAACUUAAAUAAAACGAUGCUUCAAAGAGCUGCUUCGAAUAGCGCUUCAGAGUGCGAGGGAAGGCAGCGAGAGAGGAAGCGAGCCUGUCAGCGGCAGCAGCUUAUAGCUAUCGAAAGAAGACGGGUCGGCGCUGGUUGUGCUCCACCGUCGGGCUCGAUAUUUCCUAAGACACGGCAAGCAGUCGACGCCCUGGAUUUCUACUACUUACUGCCGGGAUACGUCAAACUACAAUACUGCUCCCGCAUCACCAGCCUUACCAGAUACGGCGGGCAGACACGACGCCCGGACUACUAUACUACUAGCAACUAGGAUUCGUCGAUCAACAAUACUGCUGCCUGUCAUUAACACCCUGAUGGUUACAGUGGUUUGUUUAGUGUACGAGGACAACAUUCAAAUAACUGGAAUCCUUCUCCCUUUUAUGUGAGUAGAAACCUGAACACCUUUUUAUAAACCCAGCAUUUAACUGUGAGCCGCACCUACGAAGGUGAGGGGAUUUCAGAGGGUUUACCCCAAUAAGUGGCUACAUAUUUUCCACAUGACCCUUGACUAUCCCAGCCUUAAACCCAAAGCCAUCUUCUAAUGUAGUUUCUUUCCCUCAUCUAAGCUAAGGCCUCCUAGCCACUGAUCAGAUGUUUUCUAAGGCAUUUAAACGCUGAGGUGGAAUGGUCCAUCUUGCCGCUGUAAACACCCACUUUUAUAUAUUGUCACAGCAUAAACCCAAUAAGUGUCUCUGCUGGUCCUGUCUCAUUGACUUCCCUGGGCCCAACACCCAGGCACAGGCCGGCUGCCCUCGCCACCACACGCCGAAGACACACUCACCCGCGCUGGCCGAAGGCGGUACCGCACCCGAAGGUAACCUGCAAGAAAAGGGUGCCGUUACGUUCCCUGUACCGUCGGUGGAAAGACAAACUCCUGCCUUCUCUAAUUAUAAAACCUCCUGCCCUUUUAAUAUGAUGUCGGUCCAGAUUUAUUUCAAUAAACCCUUCCCUAUCUCGUUUCAAGUACAUUUUUACUCUAAAUUAGCUAAUUUACAUAUAAUAAUAAAUUAAUAAAUAAC